CAUCACUUCUGGAAUGGGUAAUGACUUAAAUCUAUAUGGCCCCUGGAUUGGACCGCGGCCGAUCAGGCUGUUGGUGAGGUAAUGGCCCACCAAACCUGUAACCGGUACGGGCUCUGAGAGGAGGAGCCCGGAGAUGGGCACUGAGACAAGGGCCCAGGCCCUAUGGGGCGCAGCAGGCGCGAAACCUCUGCAAUAGGCAAAAGCUUGACAGGGUUACUCUGAGUGAUUUCCGUUAAGGAGAUCUUUUGGCACCUCUAAAAAUGGUGCAGAAUAAGGGGUGGGCAAGUCUGGUGUCAGCCGCCGCGGUAAUACCAGCACCCCGAGUGGUCGGGACGUUUAUUGGGCCUAAAGCAUCCGUAGCCGGUUCUACAAGUCUUCCGUUAAAUCCACCUGCUUAACAGAUGGGCUGCGGAAGAUACUAUAGAGCUAGGAGGCGGGAGAGGCAAGCGGUACUCGAUGGGUAGGGGUAAAAUCCGUUGAUCCAUUGAAGACCACCAGUGGCGAAGGCGGCUUGCCAGAACGCGCUCGACGGUGAGGGAUGAAAGCUGGGGGAGCAAACCGGAUUAGAUACCCGGGUAGUCCCAGCUGUAAACGAUGCAGACUCGGUGAUGAGUUGGCUUAUUGCUAACUCAGUGCCGCAGGGAAGCCGUUAAGUUUGCCGCCUGGGGAGUACGGUCGCAAGACUGAAACUUAA
RNAcentral lists this ribosomal RNA (694 nucleotides) under uncultured archaeon. Its description in RNAcentral is "bacterial SSU rRNA". It matches the Rfam family "Archaeal small subunit ribosomal RNA", at positions 162 to 859 of the family's 1478-position model. The record is from RNAcentral.